GAUGAACGCUGGCGGCGUGCUUAACACAUGCAAGUCGAACGGUGAAGGCGGAGCUUGCUCUGCUGGAUCAGUGGCGAACGGGUGAGUAACACGUGAGCAAUCUGCCCCUGACUCUGGGAUAAGCGCUGGAAACGGCGUCUAAUACUGGAUACGAGCUGCGAAGGCAUCUUCAGCAGCUGGAAAGAAUUUCGGUCAGGGAUGAGCUCGCGGCCUAUCAGCUUGUUGGUGAGGUAAUGGCUCACCAAGGCGUCGACGGGUAGCCGGCCUGAGAGGGUGACCGGCCACACUGGGACUGGGACACGGCCCAGACUCCUACGGGAGGCAGCAGUGGGGAAUAUUGCACAAUGGGCGAAACCCUGAUGCAGCAACGCCGCGUGAGGGACGACGGCCCUCGGGUUGUAAACCUCUUUUAGCAGGGAAGAAGCGAAAGUGACGGUACCUGCAGAAAAAGCGCCGGCUAACUACGUG
This 468-nucleotide ribosomal RNA is filed under the name uncultured bacterium. RNAcentral describes it as "partial 16S ribosomal RNA". It matches the Rfam family "Bacterial small subunit ribosomal RNA", at positions 28 to 507 of the family's 1533-position model. The record is from RNAcentral.